AUGAGAAGCAACAGCCUUCUUGCCAUCGUCGAUAGAUAUCUCACAAAUACUGACCAGAAGGACGACACAAUAAGUCAUGAUCCAACGGCUAUCAGGACUGCAGUUCCAAUAUAUAUUCAAAUAAAUUUUAACAUUUUGAGCAAGCACAUGAAGAAUUGUGAUGGAAAAUAUAGCCACGGCUCAUGCACUCACAUUCUGCAUCCAGCCAUUGAACAAAGAAGCAUGCAUCAUCAGUCUUCACCCUGUAUUCCUGUAAUGGAAACUGAUACGGUAAGACCACAAGUAUAUCAAAAUUACUGUAAAAGACAAAAUUGCUUGACUCUUAUCUCAUAG
This 333-nucleotide ribosomal RNA is filed under the name Triticum aestivum (bread wheat). RNAcentral's name for it is "partial small subunit ribosomal RNA". The record is from RNAcentral. Lineage: Eukaryota; Viridiplantae; Streptophyta; Magnoliopsida; Poales; Poaceae.